AGUGAACGCUGGCGGUAGGCCUAACACAUGCAAGUCGAACGGCAGCACAGUAAGAGCUUGCUCUUACGGGUGGCGCGUGGCGGACGGGUGAGGAAUACAUCGGAAUCUACUAUUUCGUGGGGGAUAACGUAGGGAAACUUACGCUAAUACCGCAUACGACCUACGGGUGAAAGCAGGGGAUCUUCGGACCUUGCGCGAUUGAAUGAGCCGAUUUCGGAUUAGUUAGUUGGCGGGGUAAAGGCCCACCAAGGCGACGAUCCGUAGCUGGUCUGAGAGGAUGAUUAGGCACACGGUAACUGAGGCACGUCCCAGACUCCUACGGGAGGAAGCAGUGGGGAAUAUUACACAAUGGGGGCAAGCCUAAUCCAGCCAUACCGCGUAGAUGCAGAAGGCCUUCUGGUUGGAGAGCCCUGUUGUUGUGAAAGAAAAGCAGCAGUUUAACACCCCGCUGUUCUGACGGUACCCAAAGAAUAAGCACCGGCUAACUUCGUG
This 492-nucleotide ribosomal RNA is filed under the name uncultured bacterium. Its description in RNAcentral is "partial 16S ribosomal RNA". It matches the Rfam family "Bacterial small subunit ribosomal RNA", at positions 29 to 507 of the family's 1533-position model. The record is from RNAcentral.